Transfer RNA from Klebsormidium nitens, 74 nucleotides. It matches the Rfam family "tRNA". From Rfam's summary of the family: Transfer RNA (tRNA) molecules are approximately 80 nucleotides in length. Lineage: Eukaryota; Viridiplantae; Streptophyta; Klebsormidiophyceae; Klebsormidiales; Klebsormidiaceae. The record is from Rfam.
GAGCCGGUAACUCAGUUGGUUAGAGUAUACGCCUGAUAAGCGUAAAGUCGGCUGUUCAAGUCAGCCUCGGCUCA